GAUGAACGCUGGCGGCGUGCCUAAUACAUGCAAGUCGAGCGAACGGACGAGAAGCUUGCUUCUCUGAUGUUAGCGGCGGACGGGUGAGUAACACGUGGAAACCUCCCUUUAAAGACUGGGAAAAUUUGGGAAAACGGGCGCAAAUCCGGGAUAAUCUUUUGAACCGUAUGGUUCAAAGGUAAAAGACGGCCUUGCGGUAAUUAAUAGCUGGUUCCGCGCUGCUUUGGCUGGUUGUUAAGUAACAGGCUUACCACGGCAAGGAGGCAUAGCCGACCUGCGAGGGGGAUCGGCCACAUUGGAGCGGGGACACGGUCCAGACUCCUACGGGAGGCAGCAGUAGGGAAUCUUCCGCAAUGGGCGAAAGCCUGACGGAGCAGCGCCGCGUGAGUGAUGAAGGUCUUCGGAUCGUAAAACUCUGUUAUUAGUGAAGAACAUAUGUGUAAGGAACUGUGCACAUCUUGACGGUACCUAAUCAGAAAGCCACGGCUAACUACGUG
RNAcentral lists this ribosomal RNA (497 nucleotides) under uncultured bacterium. Its description in RNAcentral is "partial 16S ribosomal RNA". It matches the Rfam family "Bacterial small subunit ribosomal RNA", at positions 28 to 507 of the family's 1533-position model. The record is from RNAcentral.